RNAcentral lists this ribosomal RNA (449 nucleotides) under uncultured bacterium. RNAcentral describes it as "bacterial SSU rRNA". It matches the Rfam family "Bacterial small subunit ribosomal RNA", at positions 328 to 793 of the family's 1533-position model. The record is from RNAcentral.
CUCUGUGACUCCUACGGGAGGCAGCAGUGGGGAAUAUUGCACAAUGGGCGCAAGCCUGAUGCAGCAACGCCGCGUGAGUGAUGAAGGCCUUCGGGUCGUAAAGCUCUGUCCUCAAGGAAGAAUAAAUGACGGUACUUGAGGAGGAAGCCCCCGGCUAACUACGUGCCAGCAGCCGCGGUAAUACGUAGGGGCAAGCGUUAUCCGGAAUCACUGGGCGUAAAGGGUGCGUAGGCGGUUUUUCAAGUCAGAAGUGAAAGGCUAUGGCUCAACCAUAGUAAGCUUUUGAAACUGUUAAACUUGAGUGCAGGAGAGGAAAGUGGAAUUCCUAGUGUAGAGGUGAAAUUCGUAGAUAUUAGGAGGAACACCAGUGGCGAAGGCGACUUUCUGGACUGUAACUGACGCUGAGGCACGAAAGCGUGGGGAGCGAACAGGAUUAGAUACCCUGGUAG